AUGCCGGGCAGCAGCCCAAGCCAGGGCCCAGCUCUGCCAGGAAGCGCUGGAACAACACCGCCGCGUUCUGCGCCCGGCCUCCCGGCAGCAGGGCCCGAGCAGGCGCGGAGCCCCCUGCGGGGCAGGCUCAGGGCCCCUCCGAGGGGCAGGAACGCGGCCCCUCCGUGGGGCAGGCUCAGGGCCCCUCCGUGGGGCAGGCUCAGGGCCCCUCCGUGGCAGCUCCUCCCGGGAGCCUCCUCGCGGCCUCCCGGCGCGUGGCCGCUUCCCAAGCCCUGGGCCGGGGAGGAAGGAAGGAGACUCCCGGUGGCGCAAGAACCUUUCUGGGGGCCCCAGCCUCGCCCGUCAGGCUGCCAGCACAAAGCGUUUGCUGCUGCCCCACACAGCGCAGCAGAUCUCUUCCAGGCGCCCGCCAGAGCGGCCGUCGCAGUGCCGGGCAGAGCAAAGCUGCGGGGCCGGCGGCACCGGGCUGCGGGGGCAGGCACCCCCCGCAGAGCCCGCUGCAGGAGCCGGGCCCGCGGCCACCGCCCCUCCGGAGGGCGCAGCCCCGGCACGCGCUGCCCCGCAGCCGCCGGCACCUCCGGCCAGCCCCAAGGCCCAGGCCCGCGGCAGCGCCCUGGGGGGCGUUCCUCCGGUGCGCAGCCGGUGCCUCUGCGGCUCCCGGGGGCUGCGCUGCCCCUGCCCCCGCUCACGGGAGGGGGCUCCUCGGCCCCGGGGGGCCCCCAGGAGCAUCUCGGGAAGGAGCCCGGGCUCCCCUCGGAUCCCCGCGGGCCGCAGGGGCCCGCAGAAGACAGCGGGGACCAAACCGCUUCCCCCCCGUCCGACAUCCGCGCUCGGCCGCCUCGGGUCAGCGGUUCCUCCUGGAUUUCCUCGGUAUUUUUCGAGCGGCGCCCAGGAGCCGGCAGCAGCGAGCGCAAGAGCCCCACCUCGUGCCGCGCAGAAGCACUGCUCGGGAAGGCACCCCGCCUUCAGACAGACAACGGCAAACGGCGGCGUGUGCCCAGGCCGGAACCGAGACCCCAGGGCAGCAGCGGCAGGAGCCGGUCGGAGCCUCCUAGGGCAAGCUCCCUGCCUCGGACGUCCGUGGGGCCGCUUCGGGGACCUCGGGGGUGCUCGCACAGGCACGGCCGUGCCGCGGGGGGUUCAGGCGCCCCCCCCGCUUCCUUCGUUCCCCGUGGGCACGGGAAGGCCGCGCAGCCACCCGGCAGCCCCCGGGGAUCCCAUCCGGCCAACAGCCGUCCCUGCGGGUUACCUGCCCCCGGCUCGGUUCGCCGCCCCGGGUCACCGCGGGGCUGCACGGGCUGCGGGAACAGGGAGCACCCACUGCUGGCACCAGCGGGGCCGCGCGGCUCCCCCCCCGCGUGUGGUGGCGGCGCGAGGCACCGGCUCACGGCGGGGCUGGGACCAGGGCCGGGUGGGCACGGAGCGAGGCAGCCAGGCCCUGCCCCCCGCCGCUGCCCUCGGGGCCUCGGGGCCAGGGGAGCUCAGGCCCCGCCGCCGCCUCUCCGCGCGAGGCCCCGCCGAGCUCCCGCCUCGCCCCGGGGGCUGAUCCCGGCACCGGCUGCCGCCAGGCGCCCCGCAGCCAGCAACGCGGUUCCGGGCUCUGCUCGCGGCUGA
Anser cygnoides (Swan goose) is the source of this 1614-nucleotide long non-coding RNA. The record is from Ensembl. NCBI's taxonomy places the organism in Eukaryota, Metazoa, Chordata, Aves, Anseriformes, Anatidae.